The sequence is a regulatory RNA element, 53 nucleotides long. It matches the Rfam family "L31-Actinobacteria ribosomal protein leader". The record is from Rfam.
AAGGUUCCGGUUCACGUCCAUAACCCCAGGAUUGGGUGGGCGACCCGGCGGCC